RNAcentral lists this ribosomal RNA (253 nucleotides) under Faecalibacterium prausnitzii. RNAcentral describes it as "partial 16S ribosomal RNA". It matches the Rfam family "Bacterial small subunit ribosomal RNA", at positions 524 to 776 of the family's 1533-position model. The record is from RNAcentral. Lineage: Bacteria; Bacillati; Bacillota; Clostridia; Eubacteriales; Oscillospiraceae.
UACGUCGGGAGCAAGCGUUGUCCGGAUUUACUGGGUGUAAAGGGUGCGUAGGCGGCUUUGCAAGUCAGAUGUGAAAUCUAUGGGCUCAACCCAUGAACUGCUUUCAAAACUGUUUUUCUUGAGUAGUGCAGAGGUAGGCGGAAUUCCCGGUGUAGCGGUGGAAUGCGUAGAUAUCGGGAGGAACACCAGUGGCGAAGGCGGCCUACUGGGCACCAACUGACGCUGAGGCUCGAAAGUGUGGGUAGCAAACAGG